RNAcentral lists this ribosomal RNA (1095 nucleotides) under Triticum aestivum (bread wheat). Its description in RNAcentral is "partial small subunit ribosomal RNA". The record is from RNAcentral. Lineage: Eukaryota; Viridiplantae; Streptophyta; Magnoliopsida; Poales; Poaceae.
UUGGGUCCUACCCGGACCCGGGAGCAGCACAUCCUCGACCAGGGCUUGCUGGAUGCCCAGCUCGAGCUUUGGCACCACACCUUUAGCUACGUCAAGUCCAUGGCGCUCAAGUCUGCCCUGGACCUCGGCAUUGCCGACGCCAUCCACCGCCAAGGCGGCGCCGCCACGCUCUCCCAGAUUGCCACCACGGCCACGCUCCACCCGACCAAGAUCUCCUGCCUGCGCCGCCUCAUGCGUGUGCUCAUCGUCUCCGGCAUCUUCAGCGUCGAACACCCCAGGGACGACGGCGUUGAGGGCGAGGCCGUCUACGCGCUGACGCCGGCGUCCCGUCUCCUCGUCUGCUCGGCCUCGGUGAACAUGGUCCACAUCACGAAGAUGCUCCUCCACACCAACCUCGUCUCCCCGUUCUCCGACCUCGGGACUUGGUUCCAGCACGAGCUGCCGGAGCCGGACCUCUUCAAGCUGAAGCACGGCAAGACCUUCUGGGAGCUGGCCAACUCGGACCCGGCGUACAACGCAAUCGUCAACGACGGCAUGGUCUCCGACAGCAGCUUCCUCAUGGACAUCGCCAUCAGGGAGUGCGGGGCCGUCUUCCAGGGGAUAGGCUCCCUGGUCGACGUCGCCGGGGGGCACGGUGGAGCGGCACAAGCCAUCUCGAAUGCGUUCCCGGACGUGAAGUGCAGUGUGAUGGACCUCGCCCACGUCGUCGCCAAGGCUCCGAGCGGUAGCGACGUGGAGUACAUCGCCGGCGACAUGUUCGAGAGCAUUCCACCGGCCGAUGCUGUCUUCCUCAAGUGGGUCAUGCAUGAUUGGGGUGACGAGGACUGCAUCAAGAUACUAAAAAAUUGCAAGAAAGCCAUCGCGCCAAAAGAUGCAGGAGGGAAGGUGAUAAUUGUCGACAUGGUGAUUGGUGCAGGACCGCAGGACCCGAAGCACAAAGAGACACAAGUCAUGUUUGACCUUUUCAUCAUGUUCAUCAAUGGCGUCGAGCGAGAUGAGCAGGAGUGGAAGAAGAUAAUCUUCGAGGCUGGAUUCAACGACUACAAAAUCACACCCAUUCUAGGUGUGAGAUCGAUCAUUGAGGUUUACCCAUGA